CCUACGGGAGGCAGCAGUAGGGAAUAUUGGGCAAUGCCCGCAAGGGUGACCCAGCCAUGCCGCGUGCAGGAAGAAGGCCUUCUGGGUUGUAAACUGCUUUUGGAAGGGAACAAAACGGCUGUGCGCAGCCACUUGAGUGUACCUUCAGAAUAAGCACCGGCUAACUCCGUGCCAGCAGCCGCGGUAAUACGGAGGGUGCAAGCGUUGUCCGGAUUUAUUGGGUUUAAAGGGUGCGUAGGCGGCCUAUUAAGUCAGGGGUGAAAGACUGCAGCUCAACUGUAGCAGUGCCUUUGAUACUGAUGGGCUUGAGUCUAGCUGAGGCCGGCGGAAUUUAUGGUGUAGCGGUGAAAUGCAUAGAUACCAUAAAGAACACCGAUUGCGAAGGCAGCCGGCUAAACUAGUACUGACGCUGAGGCACGAAAGCGUGGGGAUCGAACAGG
This 440-nucleotide ribosomal RNA is filed under the name uncultured bacterium. Its description in RNAcentral is "bacterial SSU rRNA". It matches the Rfam family "Bacterial small subunit ribosomal RNA", at positions 338 to 776 of the family's 1533-position model. The record is from RNAcentral.